UUUCAUCUGUUUGUGGAUGGUGUUCAGCACCAAGAAACGAUGUGUUUAAUAUCUACCUGUGUGGCAGUUCUGCAUGCAUGUUGAUGGUGUUCAGCACCAAGGACAGGUCUGUUUGUGC
Molecule: microRNA precursor, 118 nt
Filed under: Branchiostoma floridae (Florida lancelet)
Lineage: Eukaryota; Metazoa; Chordata; Leptocardii; Amphioxiformes; Branchiostomatidae
Description: mir-2060 microRNA precursor family
Rfam family: mir-2060 microRNA precursor family
Source: Rfam by way of RNAcentral